UACGUAGGGUGCAAGCGUUAAUCGGAAUUACUGGGCGUAAAGCGUGCGCAGGCGGUUGUGCAAGACCGAUGUGAAAUCCCCGGGCUUAACCUGGGAAUGGCAUUGUGACUGCACGGCUAGAGUGUGUCAGAGGGGGGGGUAGAAUUCCACGUGUAGCAGUGAAAUGCGUAGAGAUGUGGAGGAAUACCGAUGGCGAAGGCAGCCCCCUGGGAUAACGACUGACGCUCAUGCACGAAAGCGUGGGGAGCAAACAGG
This 255-nucleotide ribosomal RNA is filed under the name uncultured bacterium. RNAcentral describes it as "partial 16S ribosomal RNA". It matches the Rfam family "Bacterial small subunit ribosomal RNA", at positions 524 to 776 of the family's 1533-position model. The record is from RNAcentral.